RNAcentral lists this ribosomal RNA (492 nucleotides) under uncultured bacterium. Its description in RNAcentral is "partial 16S ribosomal RNA". It matches the Rfam family "Bacterial small subunit ribosomal RNA", at positions 29 to 507 of the family's 1533-position model. The record is from RNAcentral.
AGUGAACGCUGGCGGUAGGCCUAACACAUGCAAGUCGAACGGCAGCACAGUAAGAGCUUGCUCUUACGGGUGGCGAGUGGCGGACGGGUGUGGCAUACAUCGGAAUUUACUUUUUCGUGGGGGAGAACGUAGGGAAAGUUACGUUAAUACCGCAUACGACCUACGGGUGAAAGCAGGGGAUCUUCGGACCUUGCGCGAUUGAAUGAGCCGAUGUCGGAUUAGCUAGUUGGCGGGGUAAAGGCCCACCAAGGCGACGAUCCGUAGCUGGUCUGAGAGGAUGAUCAGCCACACUGGAACUGAGACACGGUCCAGACUCCUACGGGAGGCAGCAGUGGGGAAUAUUGGACAAUGGGCGCAAGCCUGAUCCAGCCAUACCGCGUGGGUGAAGAAGGCCUUCGGGUUGUAAAGCCCUUUUGUUGGGAAAGAAAAGCAGCAGGUUAAUACCCCGCUGUUCUGACGGUACCCAAAGAAUAAGCACCGGCUAACUUCGUG